GUAGAUUUUGUACAGGGUAGUAAUUCUGGAUAAAUAGCCAGAUUAUGACUUUCAGAACAGGUUCUGUCCUACAGACCUGUGUACUGAUCAACAGAGAAGAUCUCCUGGAGAAAGAACAUUUAAUUAAAUCUCUUUAAGUCAUGAAGCCACCUAUCUGUUUCUAUUUAAAGGCAUAUUGCAUCUCUUACUUCCUUUUGGCCAAAGGACAAGAGGAAAUAAAAAGGAAAGGAAGCUACCUUUCCAGCAACUACCAUCUGUAACAAAAGGAGAGAUUUUAUGGAAGAAGAUUUAAGAAGAACAUUAGGGUUCCACUAAGUAUGCUGACACAAUCAGAACAGUAACCAUACCAGUAGGAUGGUUUGGUAUCUGGCAGAUUAUUAAACUCCUUUCAGAGGAGCUGGAGUAACUGCAUGAAGCUUCUUCUCCUAUAUUGAAUGAUAGCGUCGAGACUAAGACGGCCAUGAAACAAGAAGGUGCUGGCUGUGCAGGAUGAGAGCCAUUGGAUGUUUCCUCCAUUCACCUACCCUCUUUUUUCCUUCCGUCUUCACCUCAGUUGGAGGACUAGAGAGGCUGAGCAGUAAAUUCUGAGUCCCAGUGCCAGGGAUUAUGUGAAGAGCCUUAUAGCCAUGUUCCAUGCCUAUGGAGGGAGCCAUUUGGAUAUCAAGGGGGGGCAGAAUUUUCAGCAGGACUUACCAAGAAAGUUCCAGAAAAUCUUGUUGAUUUUAGAAAUCUACAGCUGAUUUUUUUUUUAAUUAACAAAGGGAUCUGAAUAUCCAGCUGUGAUCUCUUUUGCUUUUCAAUUUUCCACCAGAACUCAACUGUAAAUUGCCUGGUUCCUAAAGCAAGAUGUAAUUCAACUGGUUCUUUCAACCAUCCUGUGAUAGACCCAGUGGGGAAGGCCCUUGAAGAUUAUUUUAGUAAAUCUGUAAUUCACUGACCUUAGCAAGUUUGCUCUAAUCUCCUUGUUUCUCAUUUUCUUUCCCAUUCUUCUUCAUUUUCUAGAGUAUUUGUGAAAAUAAUGAGAUGAUAGGUUAUACAGAAAGUGUUUUACAUUCUUGGGAAAAGGGUAUGAUCUGUGAAGUGAGUAGAAUGGUAGCCCCACAAAGGAAGCAUCCACCCAGAACCUGUGAAUGAGACUUUAUUUUCAAAAAGCGUCUUUGUACAUAUGAGUAAGGAUCUUGAGAUCAUCUUGGAUUCUCCUGUGAGCCUUAAAUCUAAUGAAGAGGAGGGGACAUGGAGAAGAUCAUGUGAAGAUGGAGGCAGAGGUUGGAGUUCUACAGCCACAAGCCAUGGGGCCUGGAGCCACCAGAAGCUGGGAAAGGCAAGGCAAGAUUCUCUCUGGCCCUCAGAGAAUGUGGCUCGACGGUCACCUUGAUUUUGGACUUCUUGUUCCUAGAACUAUGAGAGAAUAAAUCUCUUCUUUUAAGCCCUCAAGUUUAUGGUAAAUUUUCAUGGCAGACACAGGAAACUAAUACGAGGGGUCCUAAGUUACCAUUGUCAUCUGACAUAAGGUAAUGAGUAAGCAUAUGAUAAUUACUGGAAACAUUGUAAAAUUGCUGCUAUAAAAGUGGUAUGAUGUAUGGCAGGUUUUCAACUGGGGGUGACUUUGUCCCUAAAGACAUUUGGCAACAUCUAGAGACCUUUCUGUUGGCACAACUGGGGAGAGGCACUGCUGGUCUCUAGUGGGGAAGCCAGAAUGCCACAAAACAUUUGGAAAUGCACAGGACAACUCCAUGCCCCCCCCUCCCAGUAAAGAACCACCCCACUUACAAGAUCGAGGGUGCUGAGAUUGAGAAAUCCUAACAUCGGAGGAAACUUAGCAUUCUGAGAUUAAAACCUUAGCUCUGCCAUGAAUAUGGGAGCAAGAUGAUUUACUCCAGGUAGUAAACCCCUUGGAGCUUUAGUCUUCUCAUCUGUAAACCACUGUGAUAUUGACACCUGCCAGAGCUUUGUCAAGUUCCAAUGAAAUCAUGUUCGUCAAAGAAUUUUAUCUUUAAGAGUUCUUUAAUGGUAAUGAAGAGGAUUUCAUUACUAUUCCUGUUUACUUCUUUCAUACAAACAAAAACAAACCUUUGAUUUUUAAUUAAUAUAGCUAGGAAGUCCACAAUGAAUGGAUUCCCUGAGCUCCGGGGGACUCACUUUUAUAUGUUUAUG
Molecule: long non-coding RNA, 2154 nt
Filed under: Canis lupus familiaris (dog)
Lineage: Eukaryota; Metazoa; Chordata; Mammalia; Carnivora; Canidae
Description: lncRNA (ENSCAFG00845007072.1)
Source: RNAcentral